CAGCAAUCGAGCGUGUCUGAUUUGAUGCUUGCAUUGAUGAAAGAUGAGCGGCGGACGGGUGAGUAACGCGUGGGUAACCUGCCCUAUACACAUGGAUAACAUACUGAAAAGUUUACUAAUACAUGAUAAUAUAUAUUUACGGCAUCGUAGAUAUAUCAAAGUGUUAGCGGUAUAGGAUGGACCCGCGUCUGAUUAGCUAGUUGGUGAGAUAACUGCCCACCAAGGCGACGAUCAGUAGCCGACCUGAGAGGGUGAUCGGCCACAUUGGAACUGAGACACGGUCCAAACUCCUACGGGAGGCAGCAGUGGGGAAUAUUGCACAAUGGGCGCAAGCCUGAUGCAGCAACGCCGCGUGAACGAUGAAGGUCUUCGGAUCGUAAAGUUCUGUUGCAGGGGAAGAUAAUGACGGUACCCUGUGAGGAAGCCCCGGCUAACUACGUGCCAGCAGCCGCGGUAAUACGUAGGGGGCUAGCGUUAUCCGGAUUUACUGGGCGUAAAGGGUGCGUAGGUGGUCUUUCAAGUCGGUGGUUAAAGGCUACGGCUCAACCGUAGUUAGCCUCCGAAACUGGAAGACUUGAGUGCAGGAGAGGAAAGUGGAAUUCCCAGUGUAGCGGUGAAAUGCGUAGAUAUUGGGAGGAACACCAGUAGCGAAGGCGGCUUUCUGGACUGCAACUGACACUGAGGCACGAAAGCGUGGGUAGCAAACAGGAUUAGAUACCCUGGUAGUCCACGCUGUAAACGAUGAGUACUAGGUGUCGGGGGUUACCCCCCUCGGUGCCGCAGCUAACGCAUUAAGUACUCCGCCUGGGGAGUACGCACGCAAGUGUG
Molecule: ribosomal RNA, 828 nt
Filed under: uncultured Clostridia bacterium
Lineage: Bacteria; Bacillati; Bacillota; Clostridia
Description: bacterial SSU rRNA
Rfam family: Bacterial small subunit ribosomal RNA
Source: RNAcentral